Molecule: ribosomal RNA, 527 nt
Filed under: uncultured bacterium
Lineage: Bacteria
Description: bacterial SSU rRNA
Rfam family: Bacterial small subunit ribosomal RNA
Source: RNAcentral
GAUGAACGCUAGCGGCAGGCUUAAUACAUGCAAGUUGAGGGGCAGCAUGAUAUACGCGAGUAUAUUGAUGGCGACCGGCGGACGGGUGAGUAAUAGGUAGGAGACCUACCUCAUACAGGGGGAUAGCAUAGAGAAAUCUGUGGUAAUACCCCAUGAGGUUAUAUGAAUAGAGGCAUAUAAUCAAAGCAUAAGCGAUUAUGCGGUAUGAGAGGGGCCUACUGACCAUUAGCUAGUUGGUGAGGUAAGGGCUCACCAAGGCGAAGAUGGUUAGGGGUUUUGAGAGAGAGACCCCCCACAUUGGAACUGAGAGACGGUCCAGACUCCUACGGGAGGCAGCAGUAGGGAAUAUUGGGCAAUGGGCGAAGCCUGACCCAGCCAUGCCGCGUGAAGGAAGACGGCCUUAUGGGGUUGUAAACUUCUUUACUAGCGACUACGUAACGUUAGUAACGUUACGAAGUACUUAAAUUCGGUAAGUUAAGGUAGUUAGGUUAAAAGGCCAACGGUACGUAACCUAAAACGGUCGACCC